ACUGCUUCUCAGCCUUUCGGCUAAGAUCAAAUGUAGUAUCUGUUCUUAUCAGUUUAAUAACUGAUUUGUCAUCUAUCCAAGGACAACAUAUUAAAUGGAUUUUUGGAGCAGGAAGUUGGAAUAGGAGUUUGCUCCAUCCACCCCACGAAUCGACCUGGUCUUUCAGUACUUCCAGGAAUGGUGCAUACCUC
Hippopotamus amphibius kiboko is the source of this 191-nucleotide small nuclear RNA. RefSeq annotates it as U2 spliceosomal RNA. Lineage: Eukaryota; Metazoa; Chordata; Mammalia; Artiodactyla; Hippopotamidae. The transcript has a single exon. The record is from RefSeq and is a predicted model, not a curated record.